GCCCUUGUAGCUCAGCUGGUAGAGCGUUGCCUUGGUAAGGCAAAGGUCGGGGGAUCAUACCCCCCCAAGGGCU
This 73-nucleotide transfer RNA is filed under the name Promethearchaeota archaeon. RNAcentral's name for it is "Candidatus Lokiarchaeota archaeon tRNA-Thr". It matches the Rfam family "tRNA". From Rfam's summary of the family: Transfer RNA (tRNA) molecules are approximately 80 nucleotides in length. The record is from RNAcentral. Lineage: Archaea; Promethearchaeati; Promethearchaeota.